This 71-nucleotide transfer RNA is filed under the name Loxodonta africana (African savanna elephant). It matches the Rfam family "tRNA". Rfam says of the family: Transfer RNA (tRNA) molecules are approximately 80 nucleotides in length. Their secondary structure includes four short double-helical elements and three loops (D, anti-codon, and T loops). The record is from Rfam by way of RNAcentral. Lineage: Eukaryota; Metazoa; Chordata; Mammalia; Proboscidea; Elephantidae.
GUAUUGGUGGUUCAGUGGCUGAAUUCUCGUCUUCCAUGCAGGAGACUUAGGUUCAAUUCCUGGCCAAUCCA